GCAAACUUGGUCAUUUAGAGGAAGUAAAAGUCGUAACAAGGUCUCCGUUGGUGAACCAGCGGAGGGAUCAUUAAAGAGUUGCAAAACUCCCCAACACCAUUGUGAAUCUUACCUUACAACUAGCGUUGCUUCGGCGCCGGGAGAGCGAGAGCACUCCCCCGCCGGCGGCUAGAAUAAACUAUGUUAUACUAUGUCCUCUCUGAGUAACUUAUACAAAUAAGUCAAAACUUUCAACAACGGAUCUCUUGGUUCUGGCAUCGAUGAAGAACGCAGC
Molecule: unclassified non-coding RNA, 274 nt
Filed under: uncultured fungus
Lineage: Eukaryota; Fungi
Description: partial contains small subunit ribosomal RNA, internal transcribed spacer 1, and 5.8S ribosomal RNA
Rfam family: Eukaryotic small subunit ribosomal RNA (bases 1-73)
Source: RNAcentral